This 497-nucleotide ribosomal RNA is filed under the name uncultured bacterium. RNAcentral's name for it is "partial 16S ribosomal RNA". It matches the Rfam family "Bacterial small subunit ribosomal RNA", at positions 28 to 507 of the family's 1533-position model. The record is from RNAcentral.
GAUGAACGCUGGCGGCGUGCCUAAUACAUGCAAGUCGAGCGAACGGACGAGAAGCUUGCUUCUCUGAUGUUAGCGGCGGACGGGUGAGUAACACGUGGAUAACCUACCUAUAAGACUGGGAUAACUUCGGGAAACCGGAGCUAAUACCGGAUGAUAUUUUGAACCGCAUGGUUCAAAAGUGAAAGACGGUCUUUCUGUCACUUAUAGAUGGAUCCGCGCUGCAUUAGCUAGUUGGUAAGGUAACGGCUUACCAAGGCAACGAUGCAUAGCCGACCUGAGAGGGUGAUCGGCCACACUGGAACUGAGACACGGUCCAGACUCCUACGGGAGGCAGCAGUAGGGAAUCUUCCGCAAUGGGCGAAAGCCUGACGGAGCAACGCCGCGUGAGUGAUGAAGGUCUUCGGAUCGUAAAACUCUGUUAUUAGGGAAGAACAUAUGUGUAAGUAACUGUGCACAUCUUGACGGUACCUAGUCAGAAAGCCACGGCUAACUACGUG